Crotalus tigris (Tiger rattlesnake) is the source of this 127-nucleotide non-coding RNA. RefSeq annotates it as small Cajal body-specific RNA 4. The record is from RefSeq and is a predicted model, not a curated record. The transcript has a single exon. NCBI's taxonomy places the organism in Eukaryota, Metazoa, Chordata, Lepidosauria, Squamata, Viperidae.
GCUAGAGGAUUAAGAAGGCCUGGUCUGUUGAGCAGGGCUAGGCCGAUACCAUCCUCUUAUAGAAAUGCAAUGGGGAGAGGGGUCCAGCUUCCAGACAGCAGAGACCUCCCUGUGCCAUCCAACAACG